UAAAAAACCAAUAGCUCCGCAAGGGGUUUCAACUUGGUGAUUCAUAAUAACUUUUCGGAUCGCAUGGUCUCGUACCGGCGACGUAUCAUUCAAAUUUCUGCCCUAUCAACACUCGAUGGUAGGAUAGAGGCCUACCAUGGUUUUAACGGGUAACGGGGAAUUAGGGUUCGAUUCCGGAGAGGGAGCCUGAGAAACGGCUACCACAUCCAAGGAAGGCAGCAGGCGCGCAAAUUACCCAGUCCCAAUACGGGGAGGUAGUGACAAUAAAUAACAAUAUGGGGCCCUCACGGGUUUCGUAAUUGGAAUGAGUACAAUUUAAAUCUCUUAACGAGGAACAAUUGGAGGGCAAGUCUGGUGCCAGCAGCCGCGGUAAUUCCAGCUCCAAUAGCGUAUAUUAAAGUUGUUGCAGUUAAAAAGCUCGUAGUUGAAUUUCGGAAUCUAUCCGUUGGUCGGGCUUCACUGUCCGUACUGGUGUGAUGGGUUCUUACCUUCUGAAUAACCAGCAUGCCAUUCAUUUGGUGCGCUGGGGAAGCAGGACUAUUGGACCUUGAAAAAAUU
This 558-nucleotide ribosomal RNA is filed under the name uncultured Acaulospora. Its description in RNAcentral is "SSU rRNA". It matches the Rfam family "Eukaryotic small subunit ribosomal RNA", at positions 215 to 767 of the family's 1831-position model. The record is from RNAcentral. Lineage: Eukaryota; Fungi; Glomeromycota; Glomeromycetes; Diversisporales; Acaulosporaceae.